UGCUUAACACAUGCAAGUCGAACGCAGCAUCAGGGCUUGCCUUGAUGGCUGAGUGGCAAACGGGUGAGUAACACGUGGGAACUUACCUUUUAGACUGGGACAACCACUGGAAACGGUGGCUAAUACCGGAUACGCCCUGAGGGGGAAAGCAGCAAUGCGCUAAGAGAGAGGCCCGCGGCAGAUUAGGUAGUUGGUGGGGUAAAGGCCUACCAAGCCUGUGAUCUGUAGCUGAUUUGAGAGGAUGAUCAGCCACACUGGGACUGAGACACGGCCCAGACUCCUACGGGAGGCAGCAGUGGGGAAUAUUGGACAAUGGGGGAAACCCUGAUCCAGCAAUGCCGCGUGAAUGAAGAAGGCCUUAGGGUUGUAAAAUUC
Molecule: ribosomal RNA, 375 nt
Filed under: uncultured organism
Description: bacterial SSU rRNA
Rfam family: Bacterial small subunit ribosomal RNA
Source: RNAcentral